CCUGGAACUCCGAGCCUCCAGCUCUGCUCGCGGUGCCCCCCAAGGCUGAGGUUUCAGUCUGCAGUCUGCUGAUCCGAAAGAAAGAAGGCGGCUUUUGGAGGACAUAAUCAUUGCAAGUCGAGCUGCUGCUGAACCUCCCCUUCCAACAUCCAGCAGGUUUGUUCUGCAGGCCCCGAUGAUGGCACAGGCAUGAAAGAGCCCAGAGCUCGUCGCUGGGGAGAGGCUGCGUAUGGCGUUGUGAAGGGAGAGAUGGAGGAGGGGUUUGAGCAGCGCUGUGCAAGAAUGAACGGCUGGUAAGAGAAGAGGCAGGAGUCGGGCAGCGGUACUGCAGCUCCUCUGGCAGCUUUGCAGCUCAGUUGGGAAGCAGAAGAUGUGGAUGUGAAAGAAGAAGUCCGUUGCUGGGACGUUCCCCUGUUCUUCCCCCAGCUGUCCCCUUGCCUCAGCCUGGAUUCCCCUUGUGUUACUGUAGGAUUUCCUUCCAUCCCCCUAGCUGCCCCUUGCUUUCCACAAGGCUGCCCUUUCCUUUCUCAUGACAGCCCACCCAUCAUUCCCUCAGAGCCCCAAUGUCCCCCCCGGUGUUUCCCAGCAAGACCCCUAGAGACACCCUGUAGCCCCCCACAGAGCCCCAUAGCCCCUCAAG
This 640-nucleotide long non-coding RNA is filed under the name Gallus gallus (chicken). RNAcentral describes it as "lncRNA (ENSGALG00010028949.1)". The record is from RNAcentral. Lineage: Eukaryota; Metazoa; Chordata; Aves; Galliformes; Phasianidae.